Long non-coding RNA from Haplochromis burtoni (Burton's mouthbrooder), 1665 nucleotides. RefSeq lists it as uncharacterized. Lineage: Eukaryota; Metazoa; Chordata; Actinopteri; Cichliformes; Cichlidae. The record is from RefSeq and is a predicted model, not a curated record. The transcript has 3 exons.
UGAUUUGGGUGAGUGAGUGAAUAGUUUUGGCAAUAUAAUGCCGCUAUUAAGGUGUCAUCUCAUGUGGCUUUUGCUUACCUUUCCUUUCCUGAGCUGUCGCCUGAUCUCCACUCUGUCAAGAUGCCAUCCAGGAUUGGUGCCGCUGUUGUCAUGUCCUAUCCUGAUUUUCUCUAUAACAUCACCAAUGUCCUCCAGCUGUUUAAAGACAACUUAUCAUUUGCAAACCGGCCGCCACUUUUUGAAAAGCUCUAUCAGUGCUUCUGCUGAGUGCACACCCCCUUAUGGCCAUACAAGACUAUAAACACGUCAGCAUCUGUUCCCGCUCCAAAUACAUCGGUGGUGUAUAUCUUUAUCUCAUAAGGCACAACUGAAAAAAAUGGAAAAGCUUUUUUGUUGACAGGCCCAGAGUACCACUCGUGCCCUCAUCAUCAUCAUCCUUCCUCAUGAAGGCCUCAUCCACGGGAACCAGCUCUCUCGCUAUCUGCCCGUCGUCUUCAUCAACUGCAAGCCAGCGGUUACAAGGGAAGUAGUAUCUACAGAAGAAACACCUCUGUUCAACACUCCAAGAUAUAAUCUUGUUAAUUUACUCUCCUAAUCACACAAAAUCUUUAAUUGUUGUUUGCUGUAGGAUUUUUCUGGAAUCCAGCUGAAUAACUAAGCAAAACCCACAUGGCUGUAUGUUUGUGGCACCUACGUUGUAUCCUCUUUUGUGUCCACUAUUUCAACACGAUCCAGGUACCAAGAGGAGUAAGACUCAGAGUUGUCAUGACGGAUUCGUAGCUUCUUCAAAGGGCCCAAAUCAACGGCUGUCACGAUGAAAACAUCCUCCUGCAAAAUGCAGCAACUAGAUGUUUUACAAAUCACUUUUAAUUUAACUGUUUUUAUUUGAUAGUCCAAAGUGAUACCAGAGCAGAAAUGAAUCGGGACUCACAAGAGUGUUAACUGAUAGAAGAGAAGUUGGUUUGAAACAGUACUGAAAUAUAUGAAAGCUUUGAAACUUUACAAGGGAAAGACAGAAAAGGCACAAAUAUAUAAAAAUGGAAUGCAAUCCAUCCAGAGUUGCUACAGUAUAUCUGACCACAUCACAAAUAUAUUAUUAGAAGAAGCAUGUAAGCAAAAACAAGGUAAUAUGAAAACUCCCUGUUUCUGCGAUGCUGUGUAAAAUGUAGAGAAGAACAAAAUGCAAAAUCCCAUAUUUACCUAAAAAUAAGUCAAAGACAACUUAAAAAAAAACUUUAGUUGAAUUUGAUAUGUAUAUUAUAAUGUUCCCAAAGUCUUGAAAGUAGGCAGGGUAGUUCAACAAACAGACUCUUUUACUUUUGUUUUUACAAUUGAGUCAUGUUGUUCACGUCACAGAGGUACCUGUAUGUGGUUUGACAUUGUCCUGAGAAAUCAUCAUCUGUAUGGCUGCAUAUGAUUUGGAAUCAUCUGGUGGGAUUCACAUGUUUCUCCAUAACUUGUAUGUACUCUUCAGCCUUAACAGUGCCUACCAUGUGCAAGUUACUCAUGCUUUUAGAAUGCACACUAAUAUUAAGUCAUACAGUUCCUCACAUUUUUAGAGAGGAGGAAGUGAUGGGCAUGUUUUCCAAAAAGAAUUAAACAUUUCGGUAAAUUCAAACACUGAAUGUUUUUUUUCUCCCUGUAUUAAAUAUGCUUGAGGCUAGA